GACGAACGCUGGCGGCAGGCCUAACACAUGCAAGUCGAGCGCAGCGGCGGACGGGUGGGUAAUGCCUAGGAAUCUGCCUGGUAGUGGGGGAUAACGUCCGGAAACGGGCGCUAAUACCGCAUACUAUCAGAUCAGCCUAGGUGGUAUUUGCUAGUUGGUGGGGUAAAGGCCUACCAAGGCGACGAUCCCUAACUGGUCUGAGAGGAUGAUCAGUCACACUGGAACUGAGACACGGUCCAGACUCCUACGGGAGGCAGCAGUGGGGAAUAUUGGACAAUGGGCGAAAGCCUGAUCCAGCCAUGCCGCGUGUGUGAAGAAGGUCUUCGGAUUGUAAAGCACUUUAAGUUGGGAGGCGUUACCAACAGAGUAAGCACCGGCUAACUUCGUGCCAGCAGCCGCGGUAAUUC
Molecule: ribosomal RNA, 407 nt
Filed under: uncultured bacterium
Lineage: Bacteria
Description: partial 16S ribosomal RNA
Rfam family: Bacterial small subunit ribosomal RNA
Source: RNAcentral